GACGAACGCUGGCGACGUGCUUAACACAUGCAAGUCGAACGGAAAGGCCCUGCUUUUGUGGGGUGCUCGAGUGGCGAACGGGUGAGUAACACGUGAGUAACCUGCCCUUGACUUUGGGAUAACUUCAGGAUACUGGGGCUAAUACCGGAUAGGAGCUCCUGCUGCAUGGUGGGGGUUGGAAAGUUUCGGCGGUUGGGGAUGGACUCGCGGCUUAUCAGCUUGUUGGUAGGGUAGUGGCUUACCAAGGCUUUGACGGGUAGCCGGCCUGAGAGGGUGACCGGCCACAUUGGGACUGAGAUACGGCCCAGACUCCUACGGGAGGCAGCAGUGGGGAAUAUUGCACAAUGGGCGGAAGCCUGAUGCAGCAACGCCGCGUGCGGGAUGACGGCCUUCGGGUUGUAAACCGCUUUCGCCUGUGACGAAGCGUGAGUGACGGUAAUGGGUAAAGAAGCACCGGCUAACUACGUG
RNAcentral lists this ribosomal RNA (468 nucleotides) under uncultured bacterium. Its description in RNAcentral is "partial 16S ribosomal RNA". It matches the Rfam family "Bacterial small subunit ribosomal RNA", at positions 28 to 507 of the family's 1533-position model. The record is from RNAcentral.